GACAGAGGGUGCAAACGUUGCUCGGAAUCACUGGGCGUAAAGGGCGCGUAGGCGGACAAGUAAGUCGGGCGUGAAAUCCCUAGGCUCAACCUAGGAACUGCACUCGAAACUGCAUGUCUUGAGUACCGGAGAGGAAAGCGGAAUACCUGGUGUAGAGGUGAAAUUCGUAGAUAUCAGGUGGAACACCAGUGGCGAAGGCGGCUUUGUGGACGGUAACUGACGCUGAGGCGCGAAAGCGUGGGGAGCAAACAGG
RNAcentral lists this ribosomal RNA (253 nucleotides) under uncultured bacterium. RNAcentral's name for it is "partial 16S ribosomal RNA". It matches the Rfam family "Bacterial small subunit ribosomal RNA", at positions 524 to 776 of the family's 1533-position model. The record is from RNAcentral.